AGAGGCAAGGCCUCCUGCCUGGGGCCUCCUAACUACUCCUGGCCGUCGGCGGUCUUCACGUAGCAGCAUCCAUCGGCGGUGGCAUCUGGCUCCAGGGAUCCACCAUCUGGUUGCAUCAACCGGAAAGAAGAAGGAAGGGGGAAAAGGGGUAGCAAAGCAACCGUGAGUACUCAUCCAAAGUACUCGCAAGCAUAAGAUCUACACUAAGUAUGCACUGGUAUCAAAUGGAAGGUUUGUAUCUGUGGACUGAACUGCAGAAUGCCAGAAUAGAGGGGGAAAGCCUAGCCUAUCGAAGACUAGCAUCUUCACGCAGCUCCUCGCAUCUUGCAGCAUGUAGAAGAGUAAAGAAUAGCAGUUUAUAUUUAACAAGCAUGUUGUAACAAUAAUGCCCAGAGAUCCUUCCUCGACUCCCUGCGAGAAAACAAUCCCGGAGCCACAUAUCUCAAGUAUCCAUUUGUAGUUGUAUAAGAUCAGGAUAUAAGUCUGAACGUCCAUUACCGUGGACACGGUACUCGAAUAUAUAACUUCCCUGCAGGGGUGCACCACGUUACCCAACACGCUCGAUCACUCUGGCCGGACACACCUUUCUGGGGUCAAUGCCCGCCCUCGGAAGAUCAACACGUCGCAGCCCGACCUAGGCUCAGCAGAGAGGUCCCCGCCGGUCUACAUCCUAAGCACUCCGGGGUCUGGGCCCAUCGCCCGUUGCACUCCGGAUCGUUGUGCGCAAGGGGAUACCAGCACCACCCGUGAAGUGGAUGGCACGAUCCGGCCCGGCCACAAUGCUGAACUGGACGUCUGACAAAGCUUCGGCUGAUACCACGACGUCGAGGCCCAUAUCUAUUCUCGCGUGGUGGUUAGUGCGUAAAGGCCAGAGGCCAACUCAGAACAAAUACCCAAACCAUAGUGUAUUAUUAGCUUGCGGAGACGAGCAGAGACUUACGAUCGAAAGUGACCCCGUCGCCCCGUCUCGUGGACUUACGACAAUGGCCUAGAAUGUCCGGCCGUGCCACGUAACCAUCUUGCGGGUGCUCUCCGGGCCCGCCCGACUUCCACCAAGGUCUCAAGUAAAGCCAUUGUAACCGUGUGUCCAGACAUCAAGAGGAAAACCCGAGGAAUCACCCCUGGUGGAUUCCACUCAAUGUAAUCAUCAAGGUGAACAUAUGAGGGACCACCCUCGAGGUUCACUCUUGAGGUGUUGAACGACAGAGCCGUAUCGGGAAUGGAGAAAGAGGAAAUCACCCUCGAUGACCACGACCGAAUAGCUACACUACAGAAUUAUCAUCAGGAGUGCGUUAUGAGGGAUCACCCUCGGCACUCGAUAGUAGCUCUGCAGAGUCGAGCAACAAAAGGGGCGUGAUGUGAUGUGAGGUGUCGGGCUCUGGUCGUCGAUCACGUCGAUCGAGGCAUCGAUGAUGAAGCAGGGCAACAAGGACAAGGUGGGGUCACUGAUGGAUCACUAACCAACCUAUACUAAGCAGUUUAGGAUAAGCAGGUAGGUAACAAUAAGCAGGUACAAAAGCAGGCUAUGCAUCAGAAUAGGAGCAAACAAUAACAGUAGAAAAAUCUAAUGCAAGCAUGAGAGUAUAGAAUGGGCGAUAUUGGGAUGAUCAAAGGGGGGGCUUGCCUGGUUGCUCAGACAAGAAGGAGGGUCGUCGUCGACGUAGUCGAUCACAGUGGCAUCAGCAGCGGUCUCGGGGUCUACCGGGAAGAAGAGGAGGAAAACAGUAAAUACACGCAAACAUAUGCAUAACAUGACAAUAAUCGAGGCUAGAGGUGUUCUAACGCAGCGCUAGGCGAUACUGGCGAAGGGGGAAAAAUCCGGGAAUGUUUUCCCGGUUCCGGACGUCUGUCAAACAGAUGAACUAGAGGGGGGAAAGUUCAACGUUUGAUAUACUAGGGAUGUGUGGCGGAUGAAGGGACCGCGUAAUCGGAUUCGUCUCGUCGUUCUGAGCAACUUUGAUGUAUAAAACUUUUUCAUCCGAGUUACGGUUAAUUUUCUAUGAUUUUUCAAAGAUUUAAACAAUAUUCUAAAAUUAUUAUUAAAAAGGAAACACUGCAUCAGCAUGAUGCCAGGGUGACGUCAGCAGUCAACGUUGACCUGUUGACCAGUCAAACUGACAGGUGGGUCCAUCCUGUCAUAGACUGAUAACUAAACAGCGUUUGAUUUUAACUAACCUAGUUAAUUAGGAUAAUUAAGCCAAGUUAAUUAUGUUAAUUUUUAAUUUACUAAUUAAUUAAUUUAAUUAUUUUUUAUAUCUUUUUUUACAUAUAACAGGGGAUGGGCCCCACUGCUCAGUGGCCCAUUAGGCAACUGGAGCGGGUGGUUAACGGGGCGGGUGCUGGCCCGGGCGGAGGCCGAACCCGCCCAGGUGCAGGGCGAGGCCAGCGGGGCGCCGGCGAGGACGACAGGCCGCGGCGGCCGGCUCCAGGCGACGCGGGGUCACGUGGAUGGAAUGAGUUGCACCGGCAGCAGUUGGGCGAAGGGGGCGACCGGCGAGCAGGCACGGGGCGGCCGCAACCGCGCGUGGGGAGGAAAGGGGUGAAGGAAAUAUGCCCUAGAGGCAAUAAUAAAGUUAUUAUUUAUUUCCUCAUAUCAUGAUAAAUGUUUAUUAUUCAUGCUAGAAUUGUAUUAACCGGAAACAUGAUACAUGUGUGAAUACAUAGACAAAACUAUAGUCACUAGUAUGCCUCUACUUGACUAGCUCAUUAAUCAAACAUGGUUAUGUUUCCUGACCAUAGACAUGUGUUGUCAUUUGAUUAGUGGGAUCACAUCAUUAGGAGAAUGAUGUGAUUGACAUGACCCAUUUUGUUAGCCUAGCACUUGAUCGUUUAGUAUACUGCUAUUGCUUUCUUCAUGACUUAUACAAAGUUCCUGCAACUAUGAGAUUGUGCAACUCCCGUUUACCGGAAGAACACUUUGUGUGCUACCAAACGUCACAACAUAACUGGGUGAUUAUAAAGGUGCUCUACAGGUGUUUCCGAAGGUACAUGUUGGGUUGGCAUAAUUCGAGAUUAGGAUUUGUCACUCCGAUUGUCGGAGAGGUAUCUCUGGGCCCUCUCGGUAAUACUCAUCACCUAAGCCUUGCAAGCAUGUAACUAAUGAGUUAGUUAUGAGAUGACGUAUUACGGAACGAGUAAAGAGACUUGCCGGUAACGAGAUUGAACUAGGUAUUGGAUACCGACGAUCAAAUCUCGGGCAAGUAACAUACCGAUGACAAAGGGAACAAAGUAUGUUGUUAUGCGGUUUGACCGAUAAAGAUCUUCGUAGAAUAUGUAGGAACCAAUAUGGGCAUCCAGGUCCCGCUAUUGGUUAUUGACCGAGAAUGGUUUUAGGUCAUGUCUACAUAGUUCUUGAACCCGUAGGGUCCGCACGCUUAACGUUUCGAUGACAAUUUUAUUAUGAGUUUAUAAGUUUUGAUGUACCGAAGUUUGUUCGGAGUCCCGGAUGUGAUCACGGACAUGACGAGGAGUCUCGAAAUGGUCGAGACAUAAAUAUUGAUAUAUUGGACGACUAUAUUCAGACACCGGAAAGGUUCCGGGAGUUUUCGGAGAAAAACCGGANNNNNNNNNNNNNNNNNNNNNNNNNNNNNNNNNNNNNNNNNNNNNNNNNNNNNNNNNNNNNNNNNNNNNNNNNNNNNNNNNNNNNNNNNNNNNNNNNNNNNNNNNNNNNNNNNNNNNNNNNNNNNNNNNNNNNNNNNNNNNNNNNNNNNNNNNNNNNNNNNNNNNNNNNNNNNNNNNNNNNNNNNNNNNNNNNNNNNNNNNNNNNNNNNNNNNNNNNNNNNNNNNNNNNNNNNNNNNNNNNNNNNNNNNNNNNNNNNNNNNNNNNNNNNNNNNNNNNNNNNNNNNNNGAAGAGAGGGGCCGGCCAGGGCAAGUGGUGCGCCCCUCCCCUUGAGUCCGAAUAGGACAAGGAAGGGGGGGCGGCGCCCCCCUUGCCUUCCCCCUCUCCUACUCCUUCCUUCCCCCUCCUUGGAUUAGGAAAAGGAGGGGGGAAACCUACUUGGAGUAGGUUUCCCCCUCCUAGGGCGUGCCUCCCCUUAGGCCGGCCCCCUCCUCCCUCCCUCCUUUAUAUACAGGGGCGGGGGGCACCCCAUAGACACACAAGUUGAUCUACGGAUCGUUCCUUAGCCGUGUGCGGUGCCCCCUUCCACCAUAUUCCACCUCGGUCAUAUCGUCGCAAAGCUUAGGCGAAGCCCUGCGCCGGUAGAACAUCAAGAUCGUCACCACGCCGUCGUGCUGACGGAACUCUCCCUCGACACUCGGCUGGAUUGGAAUUCGAGGGACGUCAUCGAGCUGAACGUGUGCUGAACUCGGAGGCUCCGUACGUUCGGUGCUUGGAUCGGUCGGAUCGUGAAGACGUACGACUACAUCAACCGCGUUGUGCUAACGCUUCCGCUUACGGUCUACGAGGGUACGUGGACGAACACUCUCCCCUCUCGUUGCUAUAUCAUCACCAUGGUCUUGCGUGUGCGUAGGAAAUUUUUUGAAAUUACUAUGUUCCCCAACAAGGGGGCGGCAGCGAGCGCCGACGGGGCCGUGGCCACGACGCGGCCAGCCGAAGAGGGCUGCGGUCGCGAUGGGCUAGCGUAGCAGGAGGGGGGCGGCGCGAGCGACGGUGGGGUGCUGUGCGGGGCGCGGCCAGGCGCAGGGUGAAGGGCGUGGCACGGCGAGCGCGGGCCGGUGCGGUGGUGGCCAGGGCGCGACGGGCGCAGCUACGGGUGAUGCACGACGACAGAAGCAAAGGAGAAGGUGGGAAAAUGGACAGCGAAGCUCACCGGGCCCUGUAGGUGUGCACAAGUGGGCUCGAGGAGGAGUCGGGGAGGCGUCGGAGCAGCCUGAGACGAGUCGGAGAGGCGGGUCAACGCGGAUCGACGGUGGUGUUGUCGCGAUGCCGAGGCGGGUCAACACAACACAGGGAGGCCGGUGGCCGCGAUGGUGGUGCGGCAACGACGAGGGAUCUGGAGGAGGGAGGCGAGCGUGAGGGAGAGGGAGGAUGAGGGGGAGUGGGUGGGGAGGAGCAAGUGGGAGAGGUGGCAGGGGAGAGGCCGAGGCGUCGGCCUUAUCCUCUCACUCGACGCCGACGAGGUGGUCGGGCGGAACCCACGCCCUGUAGCGGUCAGGGACCGAGGAACAGGAAGGAGCGGGGGGAAGCGACCGGGGGGGCUUAGUGGGCCGGCUGGGCCGACCGGGUGGGUCUGGUGGCCAAGCGGCCCAGGGUGAGGAGGGAGGUUUUUGUUUUAUUAUUAUAUUUACAAUUAUACAGUUUUAUUUAAUGUUAGUGCACUAAAACACUUUAAAAAAAAUUGGUUCACCACCAUAAUUACUUAUGGAAUAUUUUCCACGGUUUGUACAUUUUAGUUUUGACAUAUGAAAACUUUUAUUUUUGACUUGCUGAAAGUGCGUUAUAUCGACUAGAGGGGGGGUGAAUAGGCGAUUUUUAUGAAUUCUUCACUGAGGAAUUUUUCCUGGUGAGGAAAUUCCUUAGCGAAGAACUACUUGCAGCGGAAUAAGUACUCAGAAGUAAACAUAACAGGAUACAAACAUAAUCAUCAUGAUGAAAUGAAGACUAGCAUAGAGUACAGAAAGCGUAAACACAGGAUAAUAAGAUGAAGACAAACAGACUGAAGAAAUUGAACUAGGGAAUUUUUGAAAGUCUUCAGUCAAAGUCUUCAAGCACAGAUAUGAACAACAUAUAACACAGUAAUGAGGAAAUGAAAGAGUUGAGGAAAUAGAACCAGUUAGUUGGUGAAGACAAUGAUUUGGUAAACCAGUUCCAACUGAUGUCUCAGUUGUACGUCUGGUUGGAGCGGCUGAGUAUUUAAACUCGAGGACACGCAGUCCCGGACACCCGGUCUCUGAGCCGCAACUCAGGACACCCAGUCCUCACCGUAUUCUCCUUGAACCAAGACCACGCAGGCCUCGUCCAAUCACUCGUGGUAAGUCUUCAGGUGACUUCCAAACCUUCACAGACUUGGUCACUCGGCGAUCCACAAUUCCUCCUGGAUGCUCUAGACCUUGACGUAUAACCGUCUGGAAGAAGCACAGUCUUCAAAGGUAACAAGCGUCGGAUCCACGCAGGAUCAAUUUCUUCAGUGAUGCUCAAUCACUUUGGGUUUGUGGGGGUUUGGUUUUGGGAUUUUCCUCACUUGAUGAUUUUCGCUCAAAGUCCUCGGAGGAUGGGUUGCUCUCAAAUGACAAGUGUCAAGUUCUCUCGGAGCAGCCAACCAACUAGUGGUUGUAGGGGGCGGCUAUUUAUAGCCUAGGGAGCAGCCCGACAUGAUAAGACAUAAAUGCCCUUCAAUGAUAUGACCGUUAGGUGGAUAAGAUAUUUUGGACAGCCGGCACGCAGCACAGCAACGGUCGGAAAUUUGACUCUCAAAUUCCUCAGGGCUAUCAUGUUCCUCACUGUGUAGGCAAUUCGCACUGGCGAAUUCCUAACUCCUCAGUCAGAGCAAAGUCCUCAGUGACCAGAAGAACUGCGUCUCUGUCACUGAAGAAAUUGACUGAACUGUAUGAGAUUUCCAAUGGCUUCACUCGAAGGGAUUGGUAGGUGUAGGAUUUUGAGUUGAGCAUCACAUGGAAAUUUUUCCUUAGUAUUUCCUCGACCCCCUUUAACAGUACGGUGUUUCCUAUGACUCAAGAAAGAGAAAAUGAAACUAUGAAAACAAAAGUCUUCACGCUUCAUAUUCCUCGAAUGAAUACCAAGUCUUCAAGGUCACACCAAUUUCUUCACUUUCAAAGUCUUCAGAAAGUCUUCAGAAUAUCAAAGUCUUCAGUCGAAGAACUUCAUUUUUAGGGGUCGACUUUCUCUGUAAAUAUCAAACUCCUCAUAGACUUAUAGACCUGUGUACACUUACAAACGCAUCAGUCACUUAACCUAUAAGUCUUCAAUACACCAAAAUCACUAAGGGGCACUAGAUGCACUUACAAUCUCCCCCUUUUUGGUGAUUGAUGACAACAUAGGUUAAGUUUUCAAUGGGGAUAAACAUAUGAAGUGUAAAUACUGAUAUUGAGGAAUUUGAUUGCAAGAUAUAGAAGAACUCCCCCUGAAUAUGCGCAUAGUGAGGAAUUUGCUUUUGAGGCAAUGCACAUUUGAAGAAUUGAAUCAUGGAGAUCUCCCCCUAUAUCUUGUAAUUCAUACACGCAUUUGAUAUAUAAUAUGAAGAAUUUGAAAUGCAUGAUGAAAUAUGGUGCCUGAUGAGAUUCAGCAUGCGUGCAAUAAUAUUAACGAGGAAUAAGCAUGCAGAAUAACACAUCAAAAGUAUCAGAGCACGGUGCAUCAAGUCAGAGCACAAUGCAUCAUUCAAAAGUAUCAGGGCACCAUCGGAUUUAAGAUUACAACUCGAUCCAAUAAAAGUUUCGGAAGAACGAGAGUUGUAACUUAACAAAAUGCCCAUAAUAUAAACCCGCUUGAAGACUAACUCAGAUUUCUCCCCCUUUGUCAUCAAAUGACCAAAAGGAUCGAAACUGAGGACUAAUGCCCCUGAAGAAUUUCAAGUCGAUGGAGGAGCGCCAGUGUUGUCGGGGUUGUUCGUUGAAGUAGGGCCUGCCGCAGUGUCGUCCAAAUCUUCAUGUUUCAUCAGUUUCACGCGAUGAAGAAUAAGAACUGGCCACCAGAUCAGGAACUUUAACUCUCUUGAAUUUCUUCGGAGGUGGUGCAGACCAGUCAAAUGCUUCCUAGAGACCCAUAGUCUUCAGUUCUUUCGCGGAAUAUACAUGAGUGAGAACAGCCCAGGUGCGGUUGAGGGUUUCAUGAAGGUGAUACUGAUUUUUCUUCACUGCAUUAUGGGUUGAAGUCAUGUUGUGAAGAAUUGCAGCAAACUAACGUUUCACCCAUUUGUGAUUGCGAUCAACCUUCUGAUGAAGACUGAGGAGUAACUCACGGUCAGUCAUCACCCUGGGUGCUAUUGCUUGAGGCUUUUGCUUGGCUGAUGUAUUUGUGGCAGUGUCAUGUGUUGCAGAAUUGUCAUUGGUGGAGUAAGAUGUAGCUAGACGGAAUUGACCAUCCAAUGGACGAGUGCCUUCAUCGAUCACAGCAGCUGCCUUGCCCUUAUCAUCAGAUGAUGAAACUGGUCGCUUGAGGACUUCAAUGGGCGGCAAGUAGCUACCAUGGUUUAGAGUGUCAGCCUUGUAAUUUAGUGAAGAUCUUGCCCUUAUGAAUCUCAUAAUCCAAGGCGCAUAGGGCUUCAGCUCAAAAGGUGACAUUGCAACAUUAGCCAGAGUCCUCAUGAAGAAAUCAUGAAAGUUGACGGGAACGCCAUGAAUGAUGUUGAAAAGCAUGUUCUUCAUGAUGCCAACGACAUCUUCGUCAUUUGAGUCGUGGCCUUUGAUAGGACUCAUUGUCUUCGUCAGGAUGCGAUAGACAGUCUGAGGCACAUAUAGCAGUUCCUUGACAAGGAAUUUGGUUCGUGGGGCCUGCCCUGGCUUCAAAGGCUUCAUGAGCACUUGCAUAUAAUGAUCUGUCAGUUUGCGGUCAUUGUAGAUGCAACGUGCACUGUCAUGGGGAGGAUCAAGAGGAAGGACACGAAGCAAUUCAGUUGCUGGUGCCUUAUAGUGAGUGUUUUCUGUCAUCCAAUCCAGCACCCAUGAAUUGACAUCUUCAGCAUCUCCGGUGAUAUGUAAAGUGGCAUAGAACUGAAGAAUGAGUUCUUCAUUCCAAUCACAGAUAUCAGUGCAGAAAUUCAGUAAUCCUGCAUCAUGAAUAACUCGGAGGACUGGCUCGAAGCACGGCAGAGAUUCCAUAUCCACAUGAGGAAUGUGCUCAUGAUCGAAGAUUUUGUCCUUGUCAAAGAGCACUGAGGAAUAGAAGUUGGCUUGAGUAGCAGUCCAGAAACGUCUUUUCCUUAUGCGAGCAGAGUCAUAUGGAUUGUAAUCAGUGAAGAACACAUGCUCAGAAAAGAAGUCUUCAGCCUUGAAUUUUUGCUUGCUAGAGAACGGAUUCUUCGGUUUGGGCAGAGGAGUGUCAGUGAUUUGCAGCACAACCUCAGGAAUCAUGAUCUCAGGUGCUUCAGGCUGAGGAAUUUCUGGUUCCUCUUCUUGUGCAGUUUGGGGAUCAGCAGCAGCAGGUUCUUCAGCACUAGCGGCUGGAAUGUCUUCAUGAACAGACGAUGUGGGAUGAGUUUCUUCAGAGCCCAUUUGAACAGUUGUAGCCGGGGAUUGAGGAAUUUGUUGAAUAGGAGUGAAGAGAGGAGUAUUGGGAUGCUGACUUUCCCAAAAGUCAUCGUUCAUCACUGGUGUAGUGCAUCCAAUAUCCACAUCUUCAUCUUCUUUUUCAAUUUCCUCAACACCAGCAUCUUCAGCUGUGAACUGAGGCAUAGGUGAGGAAACGACUGGCGUUGAAGGGAAUGUGUCCACUUCAAUUUCUUCAUCAAACUGCUCUGAGGUAGCAAUAGAAUGAUUUUCUUCAUCAGAUCCGCUGGGGAUCUUGUAGUCUUCUCCAUAAGGAACAAUUUCCUUUGAUGACAUGGAGGAAAUCGGAAUGGCAUCAAUAGGAUUUUCAAGCGAGCUGGUCAUUGGCUUCAUUUUCUUCACGGCCGAGGAAUUUGACGCAGCCGAUGCCUUCCUUUUCUUCACUGCAGCUCGCUCUGCAGCCUUGGUCUUCUUCACUUCAUAGGCAGAAGGAAGAAUUGGAGUUGGUGUUGGCGCGGGAGGAGCUGAGGACUGUGGUUCAUUUUCUUCAGGCGCAACUGGUGCAGUUGCCCUGAUCUCUUCAGUUUCUUCAGGCGCACCACUAGUGGAUGCCCUGGGAAUUUCUUCAGCGGCUGGAAUGGAGUCAUCAGCCCUGGAACUUGUAUUCUCAUCAGCAGGCUGAAAGUCAUCAGCAGUGCUGGCAUGUUCUUCAGCAGGCUGAGCAGAGUCUGCAGCCUGAGGAUUUUCUUGUUGCGAUGGGGCUAUAACAGUUGUCAUUUUCUUCGUCAAAUUGACGAAUCUCACUUUGGCUCCUUUCCAAUCAGCAUUGUAUGCAUCGAAAUCUUUGCUGAGGGCUUGGAUCUCAGAUUGAGCCUUGAGAAGUUCUUCAGGUGAUAGUCUGACAACGUUCUUCUUCAGAAGCUUCUCCUUUCUAGCUUGUGCUCUCUUUAUCUCACGAGCCUUUUCAAACUUCCAUUUCUCUUGAGCGAUGAAAUGGGUUAGCAUAUGACUUUGACUAGGAGUCAGAGGCAGAUCAGGCAUUGGAGUGUUUGGAUCCUUAUGCCAUAAGUCAAUGUAGUCGAGGAUCUUCUUCGGAUCCAAAAGCAGAGGCACAGGUGUUCCUUUGGCUCUGGCGGCCUUUGCUUGUCUAUCUCUGAUGAUUUCCGUAAGUUCUUCAUCAGAAGCCUCGUCAUCUGAGGGCACUUGGAAAGCAACCUGUUUCUUUCUUGGACUUGGCCGAGGACCGCAUCCAGCUGUUGCUUUUGUCUUCAGCAGAGUGGGGCCUGAUGAGGACAUUGGUGCUGCUGAGGAACUUGCUGAGACACCAGAAGCAAUUGAGAAACCCUGAGUCCUUUGACAUGUAGCCAGAUGCACAGGAGUUGAGGACUUGGAGGGAGCUGCUGAGGACUUUGGUGGAGCAGCAGUAGUCUGAGGAAUUUGCCGUGAGGGCGCGACUGAGGAACUUGGCCAUGAGGGCGCUGAAGGUGAAGCACUUGGCUUGCGAGCAGGCUUCUUCGACAUUGAUUUCCUCGGCUUGACCGAGAUCUCAGCGGCAGCAGCAGCAGCAGAAUCCUCAUUGAAUUUCUUCACUGCCUCCUUGGCUUGUCUUGCCAAUUUUGCUUGGCGCCUAGCCCAUUCUUCAGGAAAGUCUUCACCACUUUUGAUGCUAGUGGGAUCAGCGACUUGGCCAGGUGCCAAUGGAGCUCUUGGGCAUGGAGGAUUUAAGGCGAAUUUCUUCAUGUACUUUGGAGUAACAUAUCGAUAUUCCCUCCAUUCUUGUGCCCAUCUUCGUUCAAUCCUCUGAAUGCGCACUUUGCGCUGAUUCUUGUUUUCUUUGCCAAACUUGGCUUCAUCAGGUGUGCAAUAAUCCUUGUAUAUUUCAUCAGGGAUCUCGAAAGCAGUCAUGACCUCCGGUCUCUUUCCUCCUUUCUACGGUCUCUUUCCUUCAGCCAUUUUCUUCAGAUGAGGAAUUUGAACAAUUGAACACUCUGAAGAAGUAUGCAGUUUUUCUUCGAGGAACGCUACAAAUGAGUUAAGUUGAUGAGAACCUAGUGAUUCAGCAGCGGACAUGAGUACCUGUGAACAGAGUGUAGGUGCGAGGAAUUUGGAGAGGUCAUAUGCGUUCUCAGAAGAUUUUUCGAAAAGACAAGUUUUGAGGAAUUUGACCAGUUGAGCCUUGAGGAAUUUCACUAAGCAUUCUUGUCUUAGGUUCCAGAGUUGUACAGAUCGAAAAUCCGCACAAUUGAGGAAUCUUGAAGAAAUGAGUGCUUAGAGAGAUGGAUCAAGAGCAUACAGUGUGUGAGGUGUUCAUAUGUGAAGAUUUGAAGAAUAAAACACCUUUGAGGAUUUCCAGAAAAGUUUGAGAAUCAAAGCGAGUAAUAAAAGUGACUUUUAAUUACCCGAACUGAAGAACACGACGAACAGAGAUGAACAGCGAUGAAGUUCGUCAAGUUAGAUCUCCCACGCCCUAACUUGGCAGAGGGAGACAGCUACGGCGGCGGCGGAGUGAAGAUUUCCGCAGCCGGCGUGAGUACGACGGCGACGAGGUCGAGGCAGUGAAGCUCUUCCUCACCGGCGGCAAUGGAGUAGCGGCGGCGCUAGGGUUUGAGGAGAGCUCGAGCGAGAGACAGCGACCGAGCGGAGUAAAUGAAGUAAGGAAGGGGAGAGGGGUAUUUAUAGCCACGGUAAAAACUAUUCGCCCGAAGAUUUUGGGACGAACAUGCCCCUGCCCUUUCUUAUUCACGCGACAUGUGUCACCCACGUACUGUGCAGAUGAGAUCGUGUAAGAUCGUGGGUGAAUAAAAUAAUGCGUCGUGGGAUGCAGAACGGUUUGAGCGGUAAAACCGAAAAUCUGGAUAAGAUUUGUUUUAAAGUUUCGUUGCAAUUUCUUUAGCUGACAAGGACGCAGUGAAGACUUUGAACGAGUUUCAAUCAGAACACACAUGAAGAAUUUGUGAAUAGAUUGGGUUGAGUAAGCAUAGAGGGGGAAGGGUCCGAUCACAUUCACUUAGCAGAAAUCGCAACUUGAAGAAAUAGCAAUAAGUGAAUGCUGUAGAGGACAUAAACUCACAUAUAUAUAUAGCCAAUGAAGAAAAACGACGGAAACAGUGAAGAUUUUGCAAAGUUGAAGAAUUUGAAAGACUGAAGAAUUUCAAAAAUGAGGAAAAACUCAAAUUGAAGAUUUUCAACUUUUGUGGUGGCGUGACCCACCGUAUAAGAAUGAUGAUUUCAGACACUGCGUACAAUUGUCGUAGGGUUCUGAGAAUCAAAUUCUUCAUUAAUUUCUUCACACUUAGAGUGUUAUUCUUCAUUGAUUGAAGAAAAAUGUUUCUUCAUGUGUUGCACAUCUAAGUCAUCAAUUCUGUAUAAGGGUUAGGAUGUGUGUCCUUUUCAAAGAACAUUCAAAGAUUCUAAGAUAUUUAGCUCACACCGCAACUUGCUAAAUCUCUUCUCAUCCAAGGGCUUGGUGAAGAUAUCAGCUAGCUGUUCUUCAGUCUUCACAUGCUCGAUGGAGAUGUCGCCCUUCAACACAUGAUCACGAAGAAAAUGAUGACGAAUCUGGAUGUGCUUAGUCUUCGAGUGCUGAACUGGGUUGUGAGCAAUCUUGAUGGCACUCUCAUUGUCGCAGAGGAGAGGCACAUUCUUCACGUUGACGCCAUAGUCCUUGAGGGUUUGCUUCAUCCAAAGCAGUUGAGCACAGCAAGAGCCAGCAGCAAUGUAUUCAGCUUCAGCAGUAGACAGUGAUACGCAGUUCUGUUUCUUCGAGGACCAACAGACCAAAGAUCGUCCGAGGAAAUGACAAGUGCCAGAUGUUGACUUGCAGUCCACAUGAUCACCAGCAUAGUCAGAGUCAGAAUGUCCAAUGAGAUCAAAAGCAGAGCCCUUGGGGUACCAUAAUCCUAGUGUUGGUGUGUGAGCUAGAUAUCGAAGAAUAUGCUUCACAGCCUUAUGGUGUGAUUCCUUCGGUGCAGCUUGAAAUCGGGCACACAUGCAAACACUAAGCAUUAUAUCUGGCCUAGAUGCACAUAAGUACAAUAAGGAUCCAAUCAUGGAGCGGUAUACCUUGUGAUCAAAGUCAAUACCAUUUUCAUCAGUGCAUAGAUGACCAUUUGUGGGCAUAGGAAUUUUGACGCCUUUGCAAUCUUGCAUGCCGAAUUUCCUCAGUACAUCUUUGAGGUAUUUCUCCUGAGAUAUGAAUAUGCCAUUGCGCUGCUGACGAAUUUGAAGACCUAAGAAGAAUUUCAACUCUCCCAUCAUAGACAUUUGAUAUUCCUCACUCAUCAUAUAGGCAAAUUCAUCACUAUAACGUUGGUUAGUACAGCCAAAGAUAAUAUCAUCAACAUAUAUUUGGCACACAAACAGUUCACCAUCAUAUGAUUUAGUAAAAAGAGUAGGGUCGAGUGAACUGGGUGUGAAGCCAUUCUUCACGAAGAAUUCCUUCAAUGUAUCGUACCACGCCCGAGGGGCUUGCUUGAGGCCAUAGAGAGCCUUAUUGAGUUUGAAGACUUUGUCAGGAUUCUUGGGAUCUUCAAAACCUGGGGGUUGAGCAACAUAUACUUCUUCCUCAAGCUUACCAUUGAGGAAUGCACUUUUCACAUCCAUUUGAUAUAAGAUGAUAUCAUGAUGGUUAGCGUAAGCAAGUAAUAUGCGAAUAGCCUCAAGUCUAGCAACAGGUGCAAAAGUUUCAUCGAAAUCAAUUCCUUCAACCUGUGUGUAGCCUUGAGCUACUAGUCGUGCCUUAUUCCUCACCACAAGGCCAUUUUCAUCUUGCUUGUUGCGGUAGAUCCACUUUGUGCCAAUGAUAUUAUGCUUGCGAGGAUCUGGGCAAUUGACCAAUUCCCAGACAUUGUUUAGCUCGAACUGAUGUAAUUCUUCUUGCAUAGCCUAAAUCACUCCGGCUCCAGAAAUGCUUCAUCUACCUUAGUGGGCUCUGUGAUAGAGACAAAAGCAUAGUGCCCACAAAAGUUAGAUAAAUGUGAUGCUUUUGAGCGUGUGAGAGGACCUGGUGCGCUAAUGUCAUCGAUGAUCUUCUCCACUUGCACUUCUUUUGCAACGCGUGGAUGUGUUGGUUGUCGCUGAGGAUUUUGAUCAGUAUUAUCUUCAGCACCAUUUUCCUCAUCUUGUUCUUCAGGUGCAUCAGCUCGACGUUCUUCAUGAACAGCAAUGAAUUCUUCAGCAGAUUCUUCAGUCGGAAUGACAUCCUCAGUUGCCUUGAGCUUGAUAGCAUCUUCAGGUGUUGGUUCAUCUAACACAGAAGGUAGGUGCUCUCUUUCCGAGCCAUUAGUUUCAUCGAACCGCACAUCUACAGUGUCAACAAUCUUGUGAAGAACAAUGUUGAAGACUCUGUAGGUGUGUGAGUCCUUUCCGUAACCAAGCAUAAAACCUUCAUGUGCUUUCGGUGCAAAUUUAGAGUUGUGGUGAGGAUCUCUAAUCCAACAUUUAGCACCGAAGACUUUGAAAUAACUCACAUUGGGUUUCUUGUCAGUGAGGAGUUCAUAGGCAGUAUUCUUGAAGAAUUUGUGAAGAUAUACUCUGUUGAUGAUGUGGCAAGCAGUAUCAAUUGCAUCAAUCCAAAAACGCUGAGGCGUUUUGUAUUCAUCAAGCAUAGUGCGAGCCAUCUCAACAAGAGUUCUGUUCUUGCGCUCCAUGAUGCCAUUCUGCUGAGGAGUAUAGGGAGCAGAUAACUCAUGAGUAAUACCAAGUUCAUCAAGAUAUGCAUCAAGACCGGAAUUCUUGAACUCAGUUCCAUUGUCACUUCUGAUAUGCUUGAUCUUCACACCAAAGUUGGUUGAAGCCCUCGAGGAAAAUCGUUUGAAGACUUCCUGCACUUCAUGUUUGUAAGUAACAAUGUGUACCCAUGUAUAUCGUGAAUAAUCAUCAACAAUGACAAAACCAUAUAGAGAUGCAUCAUUAGUGACUGCUGAAUAAUGAUUAGGUCCGAAGAGGUCCAUGUGAAGCAAUUCAAAUGGACGGGUAGUGGUCAUGAUAGUCUUCACUGGAUGCUUGGCCUUGGUCAUUUUUCCGGCUUCACAUGCUCCGCAUAAGUGAUCCUUGAGGAAUUUGACAUUCUCAAUGCCAAUGACAUGCUUCUUCUUCGCGAGCGUGUUCAAAUUCCUCAUGCCUGCGUGACCAAGUCAUCGAUGCCAUAGCCAGCCUUCUGAAGCUUUUGCAAGUAGACAUACGGCUGGUUGUGGUCCUGUAGAGAAAUCAACAAUAUACAGAUCUCCUCUCCUAAAGCCUUCGAAGACUUUGGAAUUGUCAGCUUCCAUAAUCACAACACAGCGAUAUUUGCCAAAGACAACAACCAUAUCAAGAUCACAAAGCAUUGAGACUGACAUGAGACUGUAUCCUAAGGACUCAACAAGCAUGACUUUGUCCAUGUGCUUAUCCUUAGAGAUAGCAACCUUACCAAGACCCAAUACCUGACUUUUGCCUUUGUCAGCAAAGAUGAUAUGCUUCAGAGGUGACGGUGAUAAGGGAGCAUCCAUCAAUAGAUUCUUGUCACCAGUCAUGUGAUUUGUACAUCCACUAUCGAGGACCCAUUCAGUGGUUUUGGGUUGAUCAUCCUGCAGAUGAAUUAGUGUAGCUUACAAUCUCAUAUGCUUCAUUAGUGAAGAAUAUGAUAUCAAGUUCAUCAGAUGAAUUUCAUCAAGCAGUAAACAGAUAUAGCAGUAUGAGGACGUGUGAAAUGAAAGUUCAUUUCAUCAUGAUUCGCCUGCGUCCCUUCAGGCAUUUUUGUCAGGUCCCCAGCAAAUUCUUCAGACGUUAGAGCACGUCUGGAGACCUGACCCUGCAGAAGAGAUUAGUUCUUUUUCUUCACCACCCACAUCUGGAGGGGUGGCAAAGACUUCAUCAUUCUGCGAGCACCAUAUGAGAAAGGUGGCAAAGAUGCCAAACCAUUUCGCUUCACAUAAGAUGGGUUAGGGUAAGCAUAUGAAUAAGUAGAGUAAUUCUUCAAGGACUUAUGAACAUAAUGGUUUGAAGAAUAAUGCACAUAUUCAUAGCCCUUAGCUCUACCCUGCGAGACAGAGUUGUUAGCACGAUGAUAAUCAUAUGAGGUCUUUGAUCCAGUUGAGGAAUUUGAUCCAUAUGAAGAAUUUGGUCCAUAUGAAGAAUUUGAUCUGGGGUUCCUGUUCUUCACAGGUGGUGUCAUGAGGACAUUCACCUGAAGACUUUCAACACAACUUUUGGGAACCCAGAUUUUCUUCAUAGGGGAACCGUUCCUGCAGUUAGUGCCAACAUAUCUAGCAAAUACUUCACCAUUUUGAUUUUUGAACAGUUUAUAGUUGGAGUCAAAUGACUCAUCAGAAGAAUGAGGAGAUUCACAUGUAAAGCCAGAUAAGUUAAAUGGAUCAACUGGAGGUCCCUUUGCAGCAACCCAUGAGGUUUUGGGGUACUGCUCAGGCUUCCAAUAUGUUCCAUCAGCAUUGAGUUUCCUCUCAAAGGCAAUACCCUCUUUCCUAGGGUUUCUGUUGAGGAUCUGCUUUUUGAGCACAUCACAAAGUGUCUGAUGCCCUUUGAGGCUUUUGUACAUGCUUGUCAUGUACAAUUCCUUCAGCCCUGCAUUGUCAGUGAUACUAGCAAUGUCCUCAGAUGAGGAAUUAGUGAUAGCAGAGGCAGAUGAAGAAUUUGUAACAGUUGAAGCAUUUGAACAUUCAGGUGAAGAAUUAGCAGAUUCACGUUCAAUGCACUUUAAGCAAGGGGGAACAAAUUCUUCCUGAGAAGCGCUGAUUUGUUGAGCUAGUAAUGAAUCGCGCUCCUUCUGAAGAUCUUCAUAACACACUCUUAGCUUUUCAAGAUCUUCCUUUCUUUGAAGAGAUUCAAGAGAAAGCUUCUCGUGAUCUUGCUUUUCUUGAAGAAAUUCAUAAGAAAGUUUCUCAUGAUCAGACAAGAGAGAGUUAUGAUGAUCUUGAAGGUUAUCAAACCUAGACUGAAAUCUCUGAAGAUUUUCAGUCAAGACUUUAGUGCGAUCCAUUUCUUCGCCCAACAUAUCGUCACUUUUAUCUAGCAUGUUUUGAACCUUUUCAAGAGCCCGUUGUUGUUUCACAGCAAUCUUAGCAAGUUUAGAGUAGCUGGGCUUGAGAUCCUCAUCAGAUUCAUUUUCACUAGAGUCAGAGGAGUUGUAUUUGAGUACCUUAGCACCUUUCGCCAUGAAGCAAUAGGUGGGAGCGUAGCCAUCAUUAUCUUCAUCAGGCUUGUCGGUGGAGUCAGUUUAUUCAGUGUUGAAGAUGGACUUGCUGACGAAGGCAGUAGCAACGGCCAGACUCACCACACCAGACUCAGAUUCUUCAGACGCUUCUUCUUCAUCAUUUUCCUCAGAUUCAGCUUCAGAGUCCAUCUCCUUGCCAAUGAAUGCCCGAGCCUUCUUGGAGCUGCUCUUCUUGUGAGAUGAAGACUUCGAGGAUUUUGAUGACGAAGAUUUUGACGAUUUCUUCUUCUUCUUCGCAUCAUCAGAACUGUAAUCCUUGUAUUUCUUCUUCUUCAUUUCCUUUUCCCACUGAGGACAAUCUUGAAUAUAGUGACCAGGCUUCUUGCAUUUGUGGCAAAGCCUUCUCUUAUAGUCACUGGAUGAGGAAUCACUGCCUCUUGAGGAUCUUCCAAAGCGACCACGUCUUGUGAACUUCUGGAAUUUCUUCACAAGCAGUGCUAGAUCCUGGCUCAAUUCUUCAGGAUCACCAAGGCUACUACCAGAAUCCUCAUAUUCAGAGUCAGACACAGCCUUGGCCUUCAGGGCACGUGGUUUUCCAUAGUUUGAGCCAUAGAGAUCUCUCUUUUCAGCAAGCUGGAACUCGUGAGUGUUUAGCCUUUCGAGGAUAUCAGCAGGAUCAAGCGACUUCUAGUCAGCACAUUCUUGUAUCAUCAGUCCCAGAGUAUCAAAUGAGGAGUCAAGCGAUCUCAAUAGUUUCUUCACAACUUCAUGAUCAGUGAUGUCAGUGGCACCGAGGGCUUGAAGCUCAUUUGAGAUGUCAGUGAGGCGAUCAAAGGUUUGUUGGACAUUCUCAUUGUCGAGUCUUUUGAAGCGGUUGAAGAGAUUCCGAAGAACAUCGACUCGAGAGUCACGCUGAGUUGAAACUCCUUCAUUUACUUUGGACAACCUAUCCCAGAUAAGCUUAGCAGUUUCCAAAGCACUCACUCUUCCAUGCUGUCCUUUGCUCAGAUGGCCACAUAUGAUAUUCUUCGCUUGAGAAUCGAGUUGUUUGAAUCUCUUCACAUCGGUAGCGUUCAGUGAGGGAGUGACAGUGGGGACACCAUUUUCCACAACAUACCAGAGAUCGUUAUCAAUUGCCUCAAGAUGCAUUCGCAUUUUGUUCUUCCAGUAGGGGUAGUCCGUUCCAUCAAAGGUAGGACACCCAGCCGAGACCUUGAUCAUACCUGCGGUCAACAUAACUAAAACUCCAGGCAGUUAAACCAAAAUCACACAGAACAAGGGAGUACCUUGCUCUGAUACCAAUUGAAAGUGCGUUAUAUCGACUAGAGGGGGGUGAAUAGGCGAUUUUUAUGAAUUCUUCACUGAGGAAUUUGCUGGUGAGGAAAUUCCUUAGCGAAGAACUACUUGCAACGGAAUAAGUACUCAGAAGUAAACAUAACAGGAUACAAACAUAGUCAUCAUGAUGAAAUGAAGACUAGCACAGAGUACAGAAAGCGUAAACACAGGAUAACAAGAUGAAGACAAACAGACUGAAGAAAUUGAACUGGGGAAUUUGUGAAAGUCUUCAGUCAAAGUCUUCAAGCACAGAUAUGAACAACAUAUAACAGAGUAAUGAGGAAAUGAAAGAGUUAAGGAAAUAGAACCAGUUAGUUGGUGAAGACAAUGAUUUGGUAAACCAGUUCCAACUGCUAUCUCAGUUGUACGUCUAGUUGGAGAUGCUUAGUAUUUAAACUCGAGGACACGCAGUCCCGGACACCCAGUCUCUGAGCCGCAACUCAGGACACCCAGUCCUCACCGUAUUCUCCUUGAACCAAGACCACGCAGGCCUCGUCCAAUCACUCGUGGUAAGUCUUCAGGUGACUUCCAAACCUUCACAGACUUGGUCACUCGGCGAUCCACAAUUCCUCUUGGAUGCUCUAGACCUUGACGCCUAACCGUCUGGAAGAAGCACAGUCUUCAAAGGUAACAAGCGUCGGAUCCACGCAGGAUCAAUUUCUUCAGUGAUGCUCAAUCACUUUGGGUUUGUGGGGGUUUGGUUUUGGGAUUUUCCUCACUUGAUGAUUUUCGCUCAAAGUCCUCGGAGGAUGGGUUGCUCUCAAAUGACAAGUGUCAAGUUCUCUCGGAGCAGCCAACCAACUAGUGGUUGUAGGGGGCGGCUAUUUAUAGCCUAGGGAGCAGCCCGACAUGAUAAGACAUAAAUGCCCUUCAAUGAUAUGACCGUUAGGUGGAUAAGAUAUUUUAGACAGCCGGCGCGCAACACAGCAACGGUCAGAAAUUUGACUCUCAAAUUCCUCAGGGCUAUCAUGUUCCUCACUGUGUAGGCAAUUUGCACUGGCGAAUUCCUAACUCCUCAGUCAGAGCAAAGUCCUCAGUGACCAGAAGAACUGCGUCUCUGUCACUGAAGAAAUUGACUGAACUGUAUGAGAUUUCUAAUGGCUUCACUCGAAGGGAUUGGUAGGUGUAGGAUUUUGAGUUGAGCAUCACAUGGAAAUUUUUCCUUAGUAUUUCCUCGACCCCCUUUAACAGUACAGUGUUUCCUAUGACUCAAGAAAGAGAAAAUGAAACUACGAAAACAAAAGUCUUCACGCUUCAUAUUCCUCGAAUGAAUACCAAGUCUUCAAGGUCACACCAAUUUCUUCACUUUCAAAGUCUUCAGAAAGUCUUCAGAAUAUCAAAGUCUUCAGUCGAUGAACUUCAUUUUUAGGGGUCGACUUUCUCUAUAAAUAUCAAACUCCUCAUAGACUUAUAGACCUGUGUACACUUACAAACGCAUCAGUCACUUAACCUAUAAGUCUUCAAUACACCAAAAUCACUAAGGGGCACUAGAUGCACUUACACUUGCUUUUAAAUUUUGAAUUCGAACGGGGUCGAUUCAUCGCGAGAUUAACAAUAGUAAUUGUGGUGACGUGGCAACAUUAGUGAAGGUUUACUGUAGCUUAAUUAUCCAGGCGUCACAAUUCUCCUCCACUACAAGAAAUCUCGUCCCGAGAUUUAAGGGGUGGAGUAAGGGGGAAAGACUCAGGAAGGACGGAGCUCAAAACAAGAUAGGUACCUGGGGGAUGUUUCGAUGAACGUGGCAUAAAGACAUCUCUCGAGUUGAAAUUCAAGAAAGUCAUCGAGAGCAAGGUAAGAAGGAGCAACAAGAAGCUUCAACCAGGUAGGCAAUCGUUCGUUGCCUGGAACAGAGGGUGAAAAGGGUUCAUAGCAAUGAGAAUAAGUAUUGCGUCUGAUACCAGAAUAGAUCACUAGGAAGGUGGCUCGUGAAUUACAUAUGAAGCCAAGCGCGAGGGAUAACUUUGAAAACAGGGAUGUAUAGGAGAGUCAGGUUUCGAUCAUGUGGAACUAUGGGUUAUGGGCCCAUCAUGUGGGUUAAAACAAGGAAUGCGCAAAUCAUUUUGCACGGUCAUGAUAGCAAGGCAGGUCAGAGGAUAGCCUAUCAAUUAUGUUGGCGACAACGUUGGUACGAAGGGCGAGGGACGAAGAGAACCAUUUUCCUGCUCGCAAGGCGAGGCGGACCAAUAGGCAAAGUUCCCGUCCAUCGAUGGCUACCAGACUGUUAUCAACAAUAGUAACAAGGUCUUUCUGACAGAGUUCGUACACCGAGGUGUUCACAUAAGCAGGGAAAUACCACUGCUCAAAUAUUUUAGGUUACAAGAAAGUUUAGAAACAAUGGAAAGGAAAGUAUAGACUCGAAUCAGUUAUCGGUAUCUUGAGUGUCUAAUAACUCAGAACCCAUGGAAAAUUGGAAUCAGCGAGAAAUAAUAGUUGAUGAAGAACUCAUAAGGGGUUAUGUAGUUCCGUGAUAUUCUCGAGAUACUAUAGGGUAAUACUCGGAGGUAGAUCAAAGUAGAGGUUGGACAUGUGAAAUGAUCUGAAGAAGACAAGUACUUUAACUUGUCCGAGAAAUGGGAUCAAAGAAGAACAAUAUGGUCGAAACCACAGUUGCAAAGGACCAAAUAUAGAUAACAGAUGAACUUAUCACUAGGGGAUUAUUAUUAUAACAAGAAGCUUCCAUGAUAAGUUCCACAUCGGGUCCAUGGGCAUGAACACAAAGGUUCAAGGUCGACUCCCACUUCUCUAAUGCACAACCUCCCAUUCACUUCUCGCAUUCGAAGAAAAUGUAGUGUUCAAAUGCUCCGAAGAAUCGCUACUAGAUAUAACCCGCAUAUUCUUCAGGUACACACGGAUUUGGAGAAGACAUAGAUUCAACCCAUAUGGGCAUAUUAGGAACAUAUACCACAAACUUUAGGAAUAGAUAACUCAAGCUCGGAAGUAAAGCAUGGUUGAGCAGGCAAAGGAUACAAUUUACCAAAGGCAUUAUGUAUCCAAAGAAGCGCUCUCAAGGUUAUUGACUAUGAAGGAUGCUGCCGGGUAAAACCCAACAAAGGACCUGGAGUCCCACAAUGGAUCUGAUGUGAGUAUCGGUACUCAACCAGAAGAAGAAGGAUUUCAAGGAGCUUAGGUUAUAGAAACAACUGACUAAUUCGAAGCUCAAAUGCAAAGGAAUUAUGGUUUCCAAAUCGGGGAGGAUCAGAAAUAGAGACUCUGAUCAAAGACAAGUAAGUUGAAUGGACAUAGAUCUACAAUCAAGCAAGGCUUGAUUUGCCGAACACCAGCUCAUGUCCGGAGUGACGUCUGAACCAAGGGAAGGAUUUUAAAUAGGACUGGUGAUCGCGAGCAUUCACAAACAAAUCGAAUCAGAUGCUCGAAAUCACGAUGACAAAGGAUGCUAACGAGUAUUGCUAGACAUACGGAGUAACCAUAAUGUAAGCAGAUAAGUAUUGCCGAGCAAUAGUUGGAGAGGAUUACCGGAAUAUCGAAUAGUACUUCAAAGUAUGAAUCACUUGAUCAACUAGGAACGAACAAAUCCUCGAAAAGUGUGAGGAAUUAUUCAUAUGGGUAUUCAUGUGGCAAGGAACUGCAGGGCAGUAAGCAUAAGGAUUGUCGGAACAUCAGAGAGUAUUUCAGGACAUUUUGUAUUAACAAGGGAAACUGGGGAUGAAGGUAUGAACGACAAUGCAGAUAGCUAUCCAAAAGGAUUAUCGGUGGUAUGGAUCGCAACGGCGAAGGGUACAAGGGGCUCGGUAAAACAUCAGAGAGUAUCUUCAGAAUCUUGUGGUGCACCAAGCAAUCAUCUGGAGUGAGGGGCUCUCCGGGAGAAAGUAUUUACAAGAUCCUAGAGUUAGAGUUAACAAAAUCAUUUAACCCAAAUAGAAGAGAGAUCAGAUUCCCAGAGUAAGGAUGAGGAAUAAAAGAUCCUAAUACCACCCAAUUGGCAACGUAGGCCCGUAAGCCACACAGCCAUGUUAGUAAAACAGUUUUUCAAAACUAGACUCAACUUCGGCCAAGGAGUUGGAAAGAGGGAUCCUACAGGCAGUCGGCUCUGAUACCAACUUGUGAUGCCCCCGAUUCAAUCGUACACUAAUCAUACACGCAAAUGUGUACGAUCAAGAUCAGGGACUCACGGGAAGAUAUCACAACACAACUCUAGACACAAAUAAAAUAAUACAAGCUCUAUAUUACAAGCCAGGGGCCUCGAGGGCUCGAAUACAUAGCUCGAUACACAAGACUCAGCGGAAGCAACAUUAUCUGAGUACAGACAUAAGUUAAACAAGGAUGCCUUAAGAAGGCUAGCACAAAAGCAACAACGAUCGAAGAGGCAAGGCCUCCUACCUGGGACCUCCUAACUACUCCUGGCCGUCGGCGGUCUUCACGUAGCAGCAUCCAUCGGUGGUGGCAUCUAGCUCCAGGGAUCCACCAUUUGGUUGCAUCAACCGGAAAGAAGAAGGAAGGGGGAAAAGGGGUAGCAAAGCAACCGUGAGUACUCAUCCAAAGUACUCGCAAGCAUAAGAUCUACACUAAGUAUGCACUGGUAUCAAAUGGAAGGUUUGUAUCUGUGGACUGAACUGCAGAAUGCCAAGAAUAGAGGGGGAAAGCCUAGCCUAUCGAAGACUAGCAUCUUCACGCAGCUCCUCGCAUCUUGCAGCAUGUAGAAGAGUAAAGAAUAGCAGUUUAUAUUUAACAAGCAUGUUGUAACAAUAAUGCCCAGAGAUCCUUCCUCGACUCCCUGCGAGAAAGCAAUCCCGGAGCCACAUAUCUCAAGUAUCCAUUUGUAGUUGUAUAAGAUCAGGAUAUAAGUCUGAACAUCCAUUACCGUGGACAUGGUACUCGAAUAUAUAACUUCCCUGUAGGGGUGCACCACGUUACCCAACACGCUCGAUCACUCUGGCCAGACACACCUUUCUAGGGUCAAUGCCCGCCCUCGGAAGAUCAACACGUUGCAGCCCGACCUAGGCUCAGCAGAGAGGUCCCCGCCGGUCUACAUCCUAAGCACUCCGGGGUCUGGGCCCAUCGCCCGUUGCACUCCGGAUCGUUGUGCGCAAGGGGAUACCAGCACCACCCGUGAAGUGGAUGGCACGAUCCGGCCCGACCACAAUGCUGAACUUGACGUCUGACAAAGCUUCGGCUGAUACCACGAUGUCGAGGCCUAUAUCUAUUCUCGCGUGGUGGUUAGUGCGUAAAGGCCAGAGGCCAACUCAGAACAAAUACCCAAACCAUAGUGUAUUAUUAGCUGGCGGAGACGAGCAGAGACUCACGAUCGAAAGUGACCCCGUCGCCCCGUCUCGUGGACUUACGACAAGGGCCUAGAAUGCCCGGCCGUGCCACAUAACCAUCUUGCGGGUGCUCUCCGGGCCCGCCCAACUUCCACCAAGGUCUCAAGUAAAGCCAUUGUAACCGUGUGUCCAGACAUCAAGGGGAAAACCCAAGGAAUCACCCCCAGUGGAUUCCACUCAAUGUAAUCAUCAAGGUGAACGUAUGAGGGACCACCCUCGAGGAUCACUCUUGAGGUGUUGAACGACAGAGCCGUAUCGGGAAUGGAGAAAGAGGAAAUCACCCUCGAUGACCACGACCGAAUAGCUACACUACAGAAUUAUCAUCAGGAGUGCGUUAUGAGGGAUCACCCUCGGCACUCGAUAGUAGCUCUGCAGAGUCGAGCAACAAAAGGGGCGUGAUGUGAUGUGAGGUGUCGGGCUCUGGUCGUCGAUCAUGUCGAUCGAGGCGUCGAUGAUGAAGCAGGGCAACAAGGACAAGGUGGGGGUCACUGAUGGAUCACUAACCAACCUAUACUAAGCAGUUUAGGAUAAGCAGGUACAAAAGCAGGCUAUGCAUCAGAAUAGGAGCAAACAAUAACAGUAGCAAAAUCUAAUGCAAGCAUGAGAGUAUCGAAUGGGCGAUAUUGGGAUGAUCAAAGGGGGGGCUUGCCUGGUUGCUCAGACAAGAAGGAGGGUCGUCGUCGACGUAGUCGAUCACAGUGGCAUCAGCAGCGGUCUCGAGGUCUACCGGGAAGAAGAGGAGGAAAACAGUAAAUACACGCAAACAUAUGCAUAACAUGACAAUAACCAAGGCUAGAGGUGUUCUAACGCAGCGCUAGGCGAUACUGGCGAAGGGGGAAAAAUCCGGGAAAGUUUUCCCGGUUCCGGACGUCUGUCAAACAGAUGAACUAGAGGGGGGAAAGUUCAACGUUUGAUAUGCUAGGGAUGUGUGGCGAAUGAAGGGACCACGUAAUCGGAUUCGUCUCGUCGUCCUGAGCAACUUUGAUGUAUAAAACUUUUUCAUCCGAGUUACGGUUAAUUUUCUAUGAUUUUUCCAAGAUUUAAACAAUAUUCUGAAAUUAUUAUUAAAAAGGAAAUACUGCAUCAGCAUGACGUCAGGGUGAUGUCAGCAGUCAAUGUUGACCUGCUGACCAGUCAAACUGACAGGUGGGUCCAUCCUGUCAUAGACUGAUAACUAAACAGCGUUUGAUUUUAACUAACCUAGUUAAUUAGGAUAAUUAAGCCAAGUUAAUUAUGUUAAUUAAUUUAAUUAUUUUUUAUAUCUUUUUUUUACUUAUAACAGGGGAUGGGCCCCACUGCUCAGUGGCCCAUUAGGCAACUAGAGCGGGUGGUUAACGGGGCGGGUGCUGCCCCAGGCGGAGGCCGAACCCGCCCAGGUGCGGGGCGAGGCCAGCGGGGCACCGGCGAGGACGACAGGCCGCGGCGGCCGGCUCCAGGCGACGCGGGGUCACGCGGAUGGAACGAGCUGCACCGGCAGCAGUUGGGCGAAGGGGGCGACCGGCGAGCAGGCACGGGGCGGCCGCAACCGCGCGUGGGGAGGAAAGGGGGCGGCAGCAAGCGCCGACGGGGCCGUGGCCACGGCGUGGCCAGCCGAAGAGGGCUGCGGUCGCGAUGGGCUAGCGUAGCAGGAGGGGGCAGCGCGAGCGACGGUGGGGUGCUGUGCGGGGCACGGCCAGGCGUGGGGUGAAGGGCGUGGCCCGGCGAGCGCGGGCCGGUGCGGUGGUGGCCGGGGCGCGACGGGCGCAGCUACGGGUGAUGCACGACGACGGAAGCAAAGGAGAAGGUGGGAAAAUGGACAGCGAAGCUCACCGGGCCCUGUAGGUGUGCACAAGUGGGCUCGAGGAGGAGUCGGGGAGGCGUCGGAGCAGCCAGAGACGAGUCGGGGAGGCGGGUCGACGCGGAUCGACGGUGGUGUUGUCGCAAUGCCGAGGACGAGACGGUCGUGGGCAGCGCAGGUGAAGCUCCCCAGUGUCGAUCUCGGGGUGGGGUCGACGAAGCGAAGCUCGGCGGUCCCCGGGGGCACGACCACACAACACAGGGAGGCCGGUGGCCGCGAUGGUGGUGCGGCGACGACGAGGG
Molecule: long non-coding RNA, 25969 nt
Filed under: Triticum aestivum (bread wheat)
Lineage: Eukaryota; Viridiplantae; Streptophyta; Magnoliopsida; Poales; Poaceae
Description: long non-coding RNA (TAES_LNC026897)
Source: RNAcentral